Alligator mississippiensis (American alligator) is the source of this 4455-nucleotide long non-coding RNA. RefSeq lists it as uncharacterized. The transcript has 2 exons. NCBI's taxonomy places the organism in Eukaryota, Metazoa, Chordata, Crocodylia, Alligatoridae. The record is from RefSeq and is a predicted model, not a curated record.
GCCCCGCGCCCGCCACGCUCCAUGGCCCCGCGCCGCCGCUGCCACGUGCGCGAGCCCGCCGCCCCGGGCCGCGGAAAGGAGCGGGGGCAGGAGGCAGCAGCGCGCCCUUGGGCCAGGAAGGCUAGGGGCGUCCUGCGCUGCCCGGGCAGACCCCGGCCGCGAUUCCCCCCCCGCUCCGCACGGCCGCGGUCGGCCCGGGGGCCUGGCCCCAGUGCUGGGCGCCCGCGGCAGGAAGGAUGCGGAGGGCAACAAAAACGCUCGGGGGCUGGGGGACACAAGCCCAUCGCCGAGAGCCACCUCUUACGGACUCGAGAGACACCGCAAGCUCCGCUCUUCUGGAACCGAAGGAAGGGGUCUGCCCGGCCCUCUGGCCCCCGCUGGAAAGGGUCAGGGCGGACUGGGGUUAAAGCUGCCUCAAUGUUUGGCUAAUCUAGCGCGGGGGUGCUUGUUUUGCAGGAAGGAUGAGCUUCCCGCCAGCACGCACUGGCGUGUCCCUUUCUACGAAGGGCCUCACACGCUUUCUCUCGUUCCUGCGCGCUCUCGGCGGGCCGAGGAUGCUCUCCCGUCCUCCGCGGCUCUCUUCCCUCACGAAUAUUUCAAAGUUUCCCAAUUCUAACAGCUUCACUGCAGCUCUUAGGCUGAGGAUGUAGAAGCCUCUGCCAUCGCCAGUCUGAAUUUCCAUAGACGAGAAUGACUUAAAUUCAAACUACGGUUCCCCAACGCAGAAUCUGAGCUAUUUUAAACCUGCGGGGUAGGUGCCUUGGUCCUCUGUUUUCUGUCAGGGCCACCUUACUUCCCAUCCUCUCCUAGAGCACGAGUCAACUGCCCCGGCUCCCCAGAGAUCCACCAGAUGGAGAGAGACCUUUCCUGAUUACUCUUCCUGCAUUUGAGGUUUCCGAUUAUUGCGUGAAACGAUGCCAACUGACCCCACCUAUCAUUUCUCCUAGGUCCGUUAACUCCAUUAGAAAAACAGGCUUCGCAGAACAAAUGCUGUAGAAUAAGCAGCGUUGGAUUCUUAAGCUUCUGGGAGGCUUUAUUCUGUGUGAAUGAAAAUAUGUAUUUCCGCAAGUAAGGCAAAUUUAAAAGCAAGCAAACAUCGGUGGGUGGCUCAGAUGCUCCUCUGUGCUACAGGUGAGCCUCCUUCCACGGUGCACACACCCUGACAGCCGGGGCUCAGGGGACACCCAGCAGCACGUGUGUGGCUCCACCGUCCAUUCUCCAGUGCCUGACUUUUCUCCUCCAGCGCUGAUCUUAGCUGCACACUUCAGACUGCCGCUCAAGGAGAGCCCGCUUCUGUUUUUCAUCUCUUGCCAUUUCAUUUUACUUGCGCAUCCUGCAUGCAGUGGUGUUUAGUAGGGAGAAGGGGAUGUCAGACAAGACAACUACAUCCCAGUAACUGCUUUCUGUAGUCAUCCUGAUCCUACGUCUCUUACUGAAGCCAUCACUGUUGUCACAUACCUCGUAUAACGAAAAGAAGGAACCGUGACAACUGACCAGGACAGCAUGUACUUCUCUACCUGAAGCUACAAGCAGGUCUACCACAUCUCCAAGCCCUGCUUUUCUUACCUCAUUCUCCCUUUCAGCGUCCACCCUGUGCCAGGGUGGGCGCAUCUACGCAUGCCAUUAAAGCGGCGUGAUAAACUCUGGCACAGUCCGCACCAGUCAGCUGCUCCUGGGCACAGCGUCUGCACAUGCACUUGGGACCACAGCCGGUUGAGCCUGGACGGAGCAUCCCUGGGCUGGCAGGGGCCCAGGGGGUCAGCCCCAGGCUCUGGGUGGUGGCAGAGGGGCUGGCUGGGGCACGGGGAGGGUGUGAAAGUGCUUAUCGCCUAGCCCCACACUUUGGCACCCUCGUGUCCCAGUCAGCCCAUCACCACAUACAUAUGCAUUCCAGUCAGGGACAGUACGAUCCUAUGGUGGAGCUAAUUUGCUGCACCCUAAUACCGGGUCAUGUGUAGACAGUGACACUUCACUGUGGAGCCAAUCAGUCAACUGCAGUAAAGCACUCCAUGUGACACAAGAUACUGGGCAAGAUAGACCUAUGGCCUGAAUCAGUAAGUGGCAGUUCUUAUAUUUCUAAAAUGAUUCGUCUUCACCAAACUAAGAAACAGCAAGAUCAGACAGAGACAGACAGAAGUAUACUUAAAUGAUCUGUUCUGCCGACAGGGAGAACUCCUCAUACUCUAGAGCACAGCUGUGUUUCCCUUGCAAUUCCUUUCAAUUUGAACGCGUUAUUUCCCAGCAGAAAAGUGAGAGAGGGAACAAAGAAAACAAUGCUUAAUCAAAAGAACCAGUUUAGUAUUGGUCUAAAUUUCUCUACACUGCUCUCCAAACAGGCCUUCUCCAACUUCUGGGAGGAUCCCCGUAUCUUUUCUUGAGAUGUAAAUUCAGUUGCUGGGAUCUGGGACAUUACUGCCCCCUUUACAAUUGCCAGUAAGGAUGCCAUUUAGUGGCAGUUUCGCAUCAAUGGCAAGACAGGUGCAAAGGCCCUACAUGAUCACUAGCAUGCUCUGAAUUCACUGCAGUUCAGCUUUCCUCUCCCCAGGUAUACAUGCUAAGGCCAUGGUAAUGAGGCAGACUCGACUUCAGGCCAAUCAACAUCUAGAGGAAAUUCUAGACCCAUCAGCUGGAGCAGUGUGGCAUGUCCUGCUGAAAUAGGAGAACUAAGCUCUGCCAGAACCAUUUAUCUCUGAAAGGUCCACAUAUUCUCACUUACAAACCUAAGGUUACUGAAAACAUAGCAUGUCCACCUACUCGAACUCCUCCAACCACUGCUGGACCAGAUGGUUGAUUAACCUGUUCUCUACUUCCCAAUAUACAAAGUCUCUCCAUGGCACAUGCGGUUCUCAGACCAGCAAUUUGGUUUAUGCAGUUUCAGUAUUUCAUUUUAAAUACCUAAAAUGACAGCUCCUCUCUCUCUCUCUCACCUCCCCUUUGGAUCACUAAGGGAACCACCAUUCCGGGUGAAUUUGGAGGGAACACUUCUCUCUGGGGGAGACGGGCCACCCCGUGCCCACUUGCACGUGUAACCUGCAUGGUAGCCAGGUUGUUCAGUGUUCAAGGGGGCAUUUUAAAUGACUUGGUGAAAAGGUAAUCAUAGGAAGCCAAAAUAACACUAGUGGUUGCUUCACCAGGCGAGGCCCACGCACAAAAUACUCCUGCUAUAAGUAUUGGAAGGAUGUAUAAUAGAUGCAAUACAAAUAAUAGAAAUUUACAGUAAAACCAAAGGCUACAUAAAAUAGAUUGCUAUGUCCAGAACAAUGGAAACUUAUUCUUACUAAUUACUGCAGAAAGCAACAAGAGAGGAAGGAUGUUCCACCUGCUAGGACAAAUGUGGAAGACUAUGAGCAACCAAGGCCCAAUUAGCCAUUCCAAAGGUUUGCUGUGGGACUACGGGCAAGAGUAUAAUAUUCCCAACCUCAUGGUGUGCUGUCAGGAUGAAUACAUUUUUAAAAUUGCAAGAAGCCUAGAUAGUAUGCUAGUGGGAAGCACCCAAGUACCUCAGAUAGGGGCAUACAUGCACAACUUAAACUAAGUAAUUCCAUGUUUAAAUCAAGUAACUUUAUAAAUAACUAUCGAACUGCCCAGUUGUCUCCUGAGUAGCUCAAGUAUGUACAAACAAAGGGUAACGCAGAAAUGGAAAGCAGCAAAAUACCCGUUUCCUUUAAAGGGAAGUACAUUCACCUCAGAUAGAGCAGACUAGAAUUAGCUGCAUUGUAUGAAUCCAGCAGAACUGCCAAUCGCCAUUUUGUAGCUAGAGAACACCUUGACAAUAAGAACAGAACUCAAAACUCAGGAAGGCAAAAGCUGACCACUUGUCCCUUGCGCGUCAGAGAUCCAGGCAAGUAAUGCAGAAGCCUUAAACCCUUCUCUGAACUGCCCCUUUUAUUUCAGAUCUUUUUCUAUAAAAUGUGCACAAAGUUAGAAGACUGAAUGCUCUACAUAAAUAGUCUAAAUAAAACACACAGCUGCCCCUAGGUAGAGAAUUGAGAAGUGAAACAUUUUAGUUGAAAUAAAUACAAACUGGGACUCUCAGAAGUAUUUAGCUCUGCUUGCUACACUGGAUAAUAUAGAAAUAGCCGAGUGACACUGGAGUGCCAUUAACAAUGAACAUAAAAACAAGAGUCUAGGAUGUACCACCAUUCAGUAAUUAUGCGUUAACUAGAUUCAAUGCCCAGUUCACAAGCAUGAUAGCUUUCUUCCAUUCCUACCGUUACCGUUUUUAAUGAGUUUUGCAUUAUACUUCUAAGAUACGAACCUAGUGGCAACAUGGGCAGUGAUUCCUGAAGCUGCCUGAAAGCUUUUCUGAAAUCUUUUUCCCCACUCCAUUAUUUUACAAGCUUCUGCCAAAUUCUGAUGUUCGCUGCGCAGCGAUAACCCCAUUGUAACUACAGCUCACGUUCACUGUGGACUGACUACACUGCAUGAAAUAUAUUUCUUUUGCUAUUUCCUUGA